Molecule: long non-coding RNA, 241 nt
Organism: Urocitellus parryii (Arctic ground squirrel)
Lineage: Eukaryota; Metazoa; Chordata; Mammalia; Rodentia; Sciuridae
Source: Ensembl
CCACCAGAGUGAGUCACGGUGACAAACACACGCCUGUCCUCUCAAUGCUCAGAGGACAGGGAAACAGAGUGCUUCUCCCACAGUGCUGCACUGGCCCUACCAGGAGCCACACUCAGGCCUCUGCACCACAGGAAGCAUGAAGGAUCACAAGUUCAGCCACCCUGGGUCAGUUGGGAUGGAGCCUGAUGAGUCUAUAAAGACGCAAUGGCAUCCUGAGCUCUAUGGCCGGCUCUCAGGGUGG